GAUGAACGCUGGCGGCGUGCCUAAUACAUGCAAGUCGAGCGAACGGACGAGAAGCUUGCUUCUCUGAUGUUAGCGGCGGACGGGUGAGUAACACGUGGAUAACCUACCUAUAAGACUGGGAUAACUUCGGGAAACCGGAGCUAAUACCGGAUAAUAUUUUGAACCGCAUGGUUCAAAAGUGAAAGACGGUCUUGCUGUCACUUAUAGAUGGAUCCGCGCUGCAUUAGCUAGUUGGUAAGGUAACGGCUUACCAAGGCAACGAUGCAUAGCCGACCUGAGAGGGUGGUCGGACAAACUGUAGUGUGGACACGGCCCGGACACGAACGGGAGGAAGCAGUAGGGAGUGUUCAGGAAUGGGCGAAAGCCUGAAGAAGCAAGUCAGGUUGAAGGAUAAAGGGCUUCGGUUCGUAAAACUCUGUUAUAAGGAAAAAACAUAUGUGUAAGUAACAGUGCACAUCUGGAAGGGACCGAAUAAGAAAGCCCAGGCUAACUACUU
This 496-nucleotide ribosomal RNA is filed under the name uncultured bacterium. RNAcentral's name for it is "partial 16S ribosomal RNA". It matches the Rfam family "Bacterial small subunit ribosomal RNA", at positions 28 to 506 of the family's 1533-position model. The record is from RNAcentral.